UGGUGGUCGGUGUUUCGUGGA
RNAcentral lists this microRNA (21 nucleotides) under Amphimedon queenslandica. RNAcentral describes it as "aqu-miR-2021-3p". Lineage: Eukaryota; Metazoa; Porifera; Demospongiae; Haplosclerida; Niphatidae. The record is from miRBase by way of RNAcentral.